Gallus gallus (chicken) is the source of this 979-nucleotide long non-coding RNA. The record is from Ensembl. Lineage: Eukaryota; Metazoa; Chordata; Aves; Galliformes; Phasianidae.
AAGGCCCGGGCUGCGGGAGGGGAACGGCGCCCUCAGGUCCCGCUGUCCUGCGGUGGCUGCUGGCGGCACAGCGCCGUGGUUGGAGCAGGCGACUUCUGAGCACUCCGUGAAUGUGCGUGUGCCUCUCCCGCUCCCCCAAACCCAUCCUUGAACUUGGAAAACUGUGUUUACGUACAUCUAAGGAGAAUUAGUAGCGCCCGUGGUCGGGCUGGAUGGGCUCUGAGCACUGAUGGAGCUGUGGGUGGCCCCGUGGCUGCAGGGAGUGGGACCUGAGGGCCUCUGAGGGUCCCUUUUGACUCAAACCAUCCUAUGGUCUGAUGAUCGAGCUAUGAAUUCUGCUUAGCCUCAUGGGCACGUCCAGCAUUGGCGGUGCAAGUAGCAGAGAGCGUGAACAAGACCCAGGCAUUGCUGCUGGAGGCUCCAACCCAGAGCCACCUCAAAUCUCUGAAGCCGUGCCCGACCACCACCAUAAAAACGGCCUUCAGAACCCGGAGGCCUUCUGGCAAAGUCCAGAACCUCCCUCCAAAGAGAAGGAUGCUCUUCAGAGGCACGACUCUGUGACACCCACAUGUUGUUGGCGCACGUGUUAGGACACCGCAGCAAGGAACAGGCAAUGCAGAUUUGGACGGCGUACAAAAAGGCAUAGCAAGGCAGGCGAGGGCGGGAAGUGAUAAGAACUCAUCUGCCACGAAGAGUGGUUGAGACCUGCGAGUCUCCGUGGGACGCCUCUGGAAGUGAUCACUGGGGAAGCACAGGAGGUUCUUUAGACACAAAAGGGGUUUGGAGGCGCAGCCCGAGCUUCCAGGCGACAGUGACAUCGCCUUUGCAGCCCUCGUGCUUCCCCAAAGACAAUUGGAGGAAAUUAGCUCAGUGCUUGCUUGAGACCUGACAGUGUCUGGAAGACAGUGGGAGUGACCCUGGGCUGUGCUCCCAUGUCAAGCCUGAAGCUCAACACCAAUUCCCUCUGGCAUCUGGGGAG